UACGUAGGGAGCAAGCGUUGUCCGGAAUCAUUGGGCGUAAAGCGCGCGUAGGCGGCCCCGUAAGUCCGCUGUGAAAGUCAAAGGCUCAACCUUUGAAAGCCGGUGGAUACUGUGGGGGCUAGAGUCCGGAAGAGGCGAGUGGAAUUCCUGGUGUAGCGGUGGAAUGCGCAGAUAUCAGGAGGAACACCAAUGGCGAAGGCAGCACUCUGGGACGUGACUGACGUUGAGACGCGAAAAGCGUGGGGGAGCAAACAGG
RNAcentral lists this ribosomal RNA (256 nucleotides) under uncultured bacterium. Its description in RNAcentral is "partial 16S ribosomal RNA". It matches the Rfam family "Bacterial small subunit ribosomal RNA", at positions 524 to 776 of the family's 1533-position model. The record is from RNAcentral.